This is an RNA transcript of Mesocricetus auratus (golden hamster), 5785 nucleotides long. It is a transcript of the gene named protein kinase AMP-activated non-catalytic subunit beta 2, with no coding region annotated. The record is from RefSeq and is a predicted model, not a curated record. Lineage: Eukaryota; Metazoa; Chordata; Mammalia; Rodentia; Cricetidae. The transcript has 9 exons.
GUCGCGAGCCUUGUAGCCAUUUUAGGAGGAAACCUCCCGUGCCGCUGCCUUGGGGAGCGGCUUCAAUUUCAAUAACUUUAUUGGUCUCUCUCUGUACGCCGAGCAGCCGGCGUGCGUGCGGCCCCGCGAUCCCGGAGCGCAUCGCCCGAGGUUGCCCCCGACUCGAGCUGCAGCCAUGGGAAACACCACCAGCGAGCGGGUGUCCGGGGAGCGCCACGGUGCCAAGGCUGCGCGAGCCGAGGGCGGCGGCCAUGGCCCGGGCAAGGAGCACAAGAUCAUGGUGGGGAGCACUGACGACCCCAGCGUCUUCAGCCUGCCCGACUCCAAGCUCCCUGGGGAUAAAGAGUUUGUACCCUGGCAGCAGGACUUGGAUGAUUCUGUGAAGCCCACUCAGCAGGCCCGGCCCACCGUUAUCCGCUGGUCUGAAGGGGGCAAGGAGGUCUUCAUCUCUGGGUCCUUCAACAAUUGGAGCACCAAGAUUCCACUGAUUAAGAGUCAUAAUGACUUUGUUGCCAUCCUGGAUCUUCCAGAGGGAGAGCACCAGUACAAGUUCUUUGUAGACGGACAGUGGGUUCAUGAUCCAUCAGAGCCUGUGGUUACCAGUCAGCUUGGCACAAUUAAUAAUUUGAUCCAUGUCAAGAAAUCUGAUUUUGAAGUAUUUGAUGCUUUAAAGUUAGAUUCCAUGGAAAGCUCUGAGACAUCUUGUCGAGACCUAUCCAGCUCACCCCCAGGGCCUUAUGGUCAAGAGAUGUAUGUGUUUCGAUCUGAGGAGAGAUUCAAAUCCCCACCCAUCCUGCCCCCUCACCUACUCCAAGUUAUUCUUAACAAGGACACUAAUAUUUCAUGUGACCCAGCCUUACUUCCUGAACCCAACCAUGUUAUGCUGAACCAUCUCUAUGCGCUGUCCAUUAAGGACAGUGUGAUGGUCCUUAGCGCAACCCAUCGCUACAAGAAGAAGUAUGUCACCACGCUGCUCUAUAAGCCCAUUUGAAGAGGACAUCACUCGUUGCCUCCAAGGAUUCUGGAGAAGCAUCUCCCUUGCCUUUGAACUGACCCGGUCUCCUCUGAGACUGGAAGGCUGAUUUGUGUUGAGGCUGAUCUGUGUGUUUCAGAGCCUCUGAGUAGGGGGCUCUGCUUUUGCAUUUGAUUGCAGAUGAGAGCUUUAUGAGUUCAUGGAGUUUAUUUUAAGACAACCAAAACCAUAUAUGUGCAUAUGAGGGGAAGGUUACUGGAAACCUCCCAGCCCAGCUGUCUAGGUUCUCUGCCUGUGGGUAGUCGCCAGGGCCUGAGAGGGAGGCUGCGGCCGCAGGAAUGAGUAUACCAGAAGCUUCUUUUCCUAAAGUGAAAGAAUAGCGAACUCCUAGGAUCCUUGUCAGGCAGAGAUCCUGCCACUGCUCCCUGGAGUCAAAGGGUCAGCAGAGUGCCAGGCUGCUGCCCUGCUCCGGCUGCCUCAUUGCAGGGUGGCUUUCCUUGCAUGGAUUGAUUCUCUAUUUCAUGGUGUGACACAGUCUGCUGUGUUUUUAUAUGACACUAGAUGCCCAUCAAGAGCCCUCCUCAUUUUAUGUACCCUGUUUAAUAGUUUCCCUCGGAUCUCACACAUGACCCAGUAAGGUGAGAAAUGCCCUUGCAAAGUUGUGUGUGGGAUUAGACUCACCUUGGAGACUGGAGGUGCCAUGGGCUCAGUGCACUCUACUACAACUUGUUUUAACGUCUGAAGAAAAUCAGUGGCUCAGUAUUCAGAGAAAUGCCCUGUCUUUGUGUUUCAGUCUGGCCCUGUGAAUUGAUUGGCUGUGUGGUACAUGCUAACGGGCUUCCACCGGGCUUGGCCCUGUUUCCCGCUGUUCUUCAUCAGAGCGGGCGGUUUGUCGUGUGGAAUUAGGGAGCCUUCCGUAUCUUUCAUCCCUGAAAGAGCUUUAUGUGCCUGUGUUUGUCUUUAAUUAAGAAAAGAAUGCAUCAGUUUUAGGUGGAGCUAUUAAAGCAGCUCGGGCUUCUGACCGGCUGUUAGGUUCUUCUCCAGUCUAGAGGGUUCCACAGUCUUGCGUUAGCAUGGCCAGCUACUUUUUUACCCAUUAAUUACCCAAGUACUCCUUUAGACCUGAGUUCAUGCAGGCUCAUAGAUGCACAUUCUAGAUUUCCCUUUAAAGAUGUGUGAGGUAAGAAACUACCCCUGCUGUUUCUCACCAUGUACUGUACUGCUCUUUGCACCAAGUAUUAACAAGAUGGGUUUUCUCUUGCCUCUUUUAAAAAUGUUUGACAGUGUAGUGGGUCACUGGUUACCACUGACUAAAAAGUAUUUAACCCACUCAGGAUUCAAGAAAAUAUUUUCUCCAAGUAUUUUGACACUUCCGUUUUACAGAUAAAUGCAAGUCAAGCAUUAAAUGCUGUUUAUGGUUGAGAGACUUCAUGUCUGCUAAGACAAGCCAGCCACAUUGAGAGGGACCUGCAGGUCAGUUUUUAGCUACCUCCUGACUUCCCUACAUUGGCACAGCCAUCCUCUUGAGAUCCUGAGACCUCUCUGAUUACAAGAGUGAAACAGGAAGGUGUGGGGAUGUUUCCCAGAGAAUACAGAUUUAUUAAAUGCCUUGGUAGGUAGUUGGUGGGGUGAGUACUGCUUCUGCCAUCCCAAGCCACUUCCCUCUUUUGUGGAGAACCUUUACUGUGCAAUCAACUUUCUGGAUAGUGUGCCAUUUUGGAAACUAAGGUCUAAUCCUAUCAUAACCUAUUCAGCGGCUCCAGUUCUACUGAAAAGCUGUUGGGUUUUGUUUGGUUUUCCCAGUGCCCAUUUAGCAGUGGGCCAUGGAGGAGGAUUCAGGGUCUCCAUUGUUACACAGUGGCUUCUGUUGUAUCUGCACUUGCUAACAUACGCGAUGGGAUCAUCUGUGUGCUCAUGGGUAAGCUUUUGCUCCACAGGUGUAGCAGUAGAAGAAUAGGGAAGCUGUCUUCAGUCUCGGGCUGAAGCUCUGUGAAUCAGGUGUGGCUGUGGGGACAGAGGGUUUGGGUACUGGUGACCUCCCGAUCCUCCUCAUCUGGAGCGACAGUCCCUAGUUCUCAGGUCAUUCCCAGCCAAACUUGAAAUUCUAGCGGUGUGGAAGGAGUGGGGUGAGGGGGGCUGCCUGGUGACUCCAGCACUGCCUCUGUCCUGCUGAUACCUGGCCCUGGGGAGCUCUGCCACUGUUGCCAGAGAACAGUUGAAGUAGACAGAGGAAGUCACUGCUUUUCUGUUGGUUACUUUAAGGGACAGCUUGUUUUCUACACUAAAAAGGUGGGUAGAAUCUGGAAGUAAGGCAAAACAUUUUAGUCUUUUUAAAAUUUACUUCUUCACCUAUGGGAAUUUUGCAGUCAAGUUGGUAGAGAAAAACAGCCCUUACCUCCUAAGGGCUGCCUCUUAAACACCCGUGGUGGAGAUGAGGGUUGUGAGGAAACGGGAGGGGUGAGUGAACUGAGGAGCGGCACUAGGAAACGGAAGGAUCGAGUAGCUUGGAACUGAAAAACAUCCUCUUUAGAAAAAGACAGUUAAAGCCAGACGUAACCUGGUCCUUGGAUUUCAUUGUCCAGAAGCUUAGCAGCCUGCAAGGUGUCUUCUCUGGGCCCCUACCUGCUCUCUGCCUUUUCUCUGCAUUCCGUUUGACUUCGUUUAUCAGUGAGACAAGUUCACCAAGGUGUCGAGUCGGUCGUUACCUAAGACACCGGUCUGUGACUUCAGCAGUGUGAAGAACUUUCGUAGUAUGGUUAUUAGCUUCCUGUCAGCCUAGACUUGAGUAGGAUUUAGCCACUGUAGGCAACACCCCUGAAGGACACACCUAGCCUCUUAAGUAUGAAGUACAAAAGAAGAAUCCGGGUUUCUGAGAGGAACCUUGACCGCUCCUGUUGGCUUUGGUUUCUUGUAGAUCUAAUGGGUCUUACAUAUGUCUUUUGAAAAGUGUCAGUAUUCCCUGCAUGCUGCUUAAGUGAUGUGGCGUGGGGGGAUGGGGCUUUUAAAACAAUAUGCAAAAGUUCCUGUGUGUGUGAGUGAGUGAGUGUUUCACUCUGUUCUCAGAUACAUUGUGCUCGCCUUCUUGUGAUUUGGGGCAUAAGAGCAGAUAAGUAUUUUGUUCCUAUUAUGACUCAGCCUCAACACCAAGACUCCAGUUACUCACGAACAGGAGACCUGGCAGGAGUAAGGUUCUUGUAGAACUCUACAGGUCUAGGUGUUUGUCUGUCCUUCAAUGACAGUCACAGCUGGAGACUGAAGAACUAACUUCUGCAGUGAACUUAGUGUUUGGGAUAAAAAGCCAAAUCUUUUCAAUUAUAGGAAAGAAGAAAAAAGUUUCAAGUCUGCUGCUUAUAGGACCUGCUCCCUCUGGAGUCUCACCUGGACUUGAUCUCAGCUGUGUCUCUCACUAUUGCUCUGAAGUGAGCAAGCCUCAUUAACAGGAAAAAUACUUGCUAGUUCCAGCAUCAGUUGGAGUUCAUUUGAACUGUGUGUAUCACAACACUUUUGCAUUAAGGCCUUGCAACUACAGGAAUGCAAGGAACUCAAGUAUUUGUUUCCAGCAUUUUCUACAAACUGACUGCAUGUUUAGCUCUUGUUCUGUACUGGAUGAACUUAGAUCUUAAGCCAAUGUUGUCAUCCCUGACUGCUCAUUCUUGUCCCCCAAAAGAGAAUCUAAGCAUAUUGGUGGCUGUCUGCGGCCUCCAACUUAGGUAAGUGGAAAUCUUAGGUGUGGGAUUCACACGUGUGAUUCUAAUAAACGGCUGGGGACCGCUAUCCUGAACUCUCUACUUGCCUACUAGAUCAUGUACUUUGCUGUGAGAAUAGAUCAUAUGCUGUAGUCUGAUAGCACUGCCUCUGAUGUGCUUGUUGAGGGCAAUGUGUAGAAUACAGUGUUUGCUUCUGUCCAUUCAUGGAGUUUACAUGUAUGGGGUCUCUGGAUUUUCUUAAAACAACUGACCCCCCCACAUACACACACACAUACACCCAGCAUUGGCUUCUCUGAUCUACUAAAGUGAACUUUCUUAAGGAGAAAAUGACAAUUGGCUUCUCUGAUCUACUAAAGUGAACUUUCUUAAGGAGAAAAUGACAAUGACCAGCAUGGGAAGAAUGAGGAAGGGACAGCACACAGAUAUGUGAGGAAAACCUACCCUCAAGAGCGUAGAAAACUACACUAAUGAACAUGAACUCAACAGUUAACCACAACACAUACAGUUCAGAGAUGGUCUACAAACUAGACUGCAGGACUCUGCCUCUGAAAGCAUGUUCCAAAUGUCGUGUCCUGGUCACAGGAACUACAUACAUGGUUCAAGGAUGUUGUUAAUUCUUUUUUUGUUCGUUUUUUCAAGACAGGCUUUCUGUAGCUUUGGAGCCUAUCAUGGAACUCAUUCUGUAGACCAGGCUGGCCUCGGACUCACAAGAGAUCUGCCUGCCUCUGCCUCCUGAGUGCUGGGAUUAAAGGUGUGCGCCACCAACGCCCAGCUUUGUUAGUUCUUUUCUUCCAGAGCUGUUCUUUCAUAGUAUUACUUUGGACUGGGGAGAUGGCUUAGCAGGUUAGGGUGCUUGCUACCCUGUUUGGUGACCUAAAUUUGGCCCUCAGAACCUACAUGGUGGACGUGGAAAGCCAACUUCUGUUGCUGUCUUCUGAUCUCAGCAUGCUGUUAUGGCAAUUCUGAGCCUUGUAAAGUUGCAUGUGAGUGUAAGACUGUUUUCUGAUUCUGAAAAGAAAAAGUUGGAAUUUGAUAGGUUGCAUUGAAUCUGUGUAUUACCUUGGAGAGUGUUGGCAUCUUGGCAAUAAUAAAUCUUGUUCAUGAA